CCUGGCCUUGACAUACUAAGAACUUUCCAGAGAUGGAUUGGUGCCUUCGGGAACUUAGAUACAGGUGCUGCAUGGCUGUCGUCAGCUCGUGUCGUGAGAUGUUGGGUUAAGUCCCGCAACGAGCGCAACCCUUUUCCUUAUUGCCAGCGGGUUAAGCCGGGAACUUUAAGGAUACUGCCAGUGACAAACUGGAGGAAGGCGGGGACGACGUCAAGUCAUCAUGGCCCUUACGGCCAGGGCUACACACGUGCUACAAUGGUCGGUACAAAGGGUUGCUACCUCGCGAGAGGAUGCUAAUCUCAAAAAGCCGAUCGUAGUCCGGAUCGCAGUCUGCAACUCGACUGCGUGAAGUCGGAAUCGCUAGUAAUCGCGGAUCAGAAUGCCGCGGUGAAUACGUUCCCGGGCCUUGUACACACCGCCCGUCACACCAUGGGAGUUUGUUGCACCAGAAGUAGGUAGUCUAACCGCAAGGAGGACGCUUACCACGGUGUGGCCGAUGACUGGGGUGAAGUCGUAACAAGGUAGGCGUAGAUGA
RNAcentral lists this ribosomal RNA (535 nucleotides) under uncultured bacterium. RNAcentral's name for it is "bacterial SSU rRNA". It matches the Rfam family "Bacterial small subunit ribosomal RNA", at positions 974 to 1509 of the family's 1533-position model. The record is from RNAcentral.